GUGGGGAAUAUUGCACAAUGGGGGAAACCCUGAUGCAGCAACGCCGCGUGAAGGAUGAAGGUUUUCGGAUCGUAAACUUCUAUCAAUAGGGACGAAGAAAGUGACGGUACCUAAAUAAGAAGCCCCGGCUAACUACGUGCCAGCAGCCGCGGUAAUACGUAGGGGGCAAGCGUUAUCCGGAAUUACUGGGUGUAAAGGGAGCGUAGGCGGCACGCCAAGCCAGAUGUGAAAGCCCGAGGCUUAACCUCGCGGAUUGCAUUUGGAACUGGCGAGCUAGAGUACAGGAGAGGAAAGCGGAAUUCCUAGUGUAGCGGUGAAAUGCGUAGAUAUUAGGAAGAACACCAGUGGCGAAGGCGGCUUUCUGGACUGAAACUGACGCUGAGGCUCGAAAGCGUGGGGAGCAAACAGGAUUAGAAACCCCAGUAGUCC
RNAcentral lists this ribosomal RNA (429 nucleotides) under uncultured bacterium. Its description in RNAcentral is "bacterial SSU rRNA". It matches the Rfam family "Bacterial small subunit ribosomal RNA", at positions 354 to 796 of the family's 1533-position model. The record is from RNAcentral.